Molecule: ribosomal RNA, 883 nt
Filed under: Lentibacillus halophilus
Lineage: Bacteria; Bacillati; Bacillota; Bacilli; Caryophanales; Bacillaceae
Description: bacterial SSU rRNA
Rfam family: Bacterial small subunit ribosomal RNA
Source: RNAcentral
AUUAUUGGAAGUAAAGCGGCGUGUAGGGCGGUUUCCUUAAGUCAGGAUGUUGACAGCUGGCGGCUCAACCGCGAGCGGUCAUUAGGAAACUGGGAGACUUGAGUGCAGAAGAGGAGAGGUGGAAUUCCACGUGUAGCGGUGAAAUGCGUAGAGAUGGGGAGGAACACCCGUGGUGAAGGCGACUUUCUGGUCUGUUAGUGACGCUGAGGCGCGAAAGCGUGGGUAGCGAACAGGAUCAGAUACCCUGGUAGUCCACGCCGUAAACGUUGAGUGCUAGGUGUUAGGGGGUUUCCGCCCCUUAGUGCUGAAGUUAACGCAUUAAGCACUCCGCCUGGGGAGUACGGCCGCAAGGUUGAAACUCAAAAGAAUUGACGGGGGCCCGCACAAGCGGUGGAGCAUGUGGUUUAAUUUGAAGCAACGCGAAGAACCUUACCAGGUCUUGACAUCCUCUGACAGCGGCAGAGAUGCCGUGUUCCCUUCGGGGACAGAGUGACAGGUGGUGCAUGGUUGUCGUCAGCUCGUGUCGUGAGAUGUUGGGUUAAGUCCCGUAACGAGCGCAACCCUUAAUCUUAGUUGCCAGCAUUAAGUUGGGCACUCUAAGGUGACUGCCGGUGACAAACCGGAGGAAGGCGGGGAUGACGUCAAAUCAUCAUGCCCCUUAUGACCUGGGCUACACACGUGCUACAAUGGAUGGAACAAAGGGACGCGAAGCGGCGACGUGAUAGCCAAUCCCACAAAACCAUUCCCAGUUCGGAUUGCAGGCUGCAACUCGCCUGUAUGAAGCCGGAAUCGCUAGUAAUCGCGGAUCAGAAUGCCGCGGUGAAUACGUUCCCGGGCCUUGUACACACCGCCCGUCACACCACGAGAGUUGGUACACGAAGUC